Molecule: non-coding RNA, 21 nt
Filed under: Caenorhabditis elegans
Lineage: Eukaryota; Metazoa; Nematoda; Chromadorea; Rhabditida; Rhabditidae
Source: RNAcentral
UCGGAUCUUUGUCUACUCCUU